Molecule: ribosomal RNA, 468 nt
Filed under: uncultured bacterium
Lineage: Bacteria
Description: partial 16S ribosomal RNA
Rfam family: Bacterial small subunit ribosomal RNA
Source: RNAcentral
GACGAGCGCUGGCGGCGUGCUUAACACAUGCAAGUCGAACGGAAAGGCCCUGCUUUUGUGGGGUGCUCGAGUGGCGAACGGGUGAGUAACACGUGAGUAACCUGCCCUUGACUUUGGGAUAACUUCAGGAAACUGGGGCUCAUACCGGAUAGGAGCUCCUGCUGCAUGGUGGGGGUUGGAAAGUUUCGGCGGUUGGGGAUGGACUCGCGGCUUAUCAGCUUGUUGGUGGGGUAGUGGCUUACCAAGGCUUUGACGGGUAGCCGGCCUGAGAGGGUGACCGGCCACAUUGGGACUGAGAUACGGCCCAGACUCCUACGGGAGGCAGCAGUGGGGAAGAUUGCACAAUGGGCGGAAGCCUGAUGCAGCAACGCCGCGUGCGGGAUGACGGCCUUCGGGUUGUAAACCGCUUUCGCCUGUGACGAAGCGUGAGUGACGGUAAUGGGUAAAGAAGCACCGGCUAACUACGUG